CUAAGUGCAUUAGGCUAUGUCCCAAUUCUAUUUUCGCAAAGAAAGAUAAGGCCUCUGGAAAGUGGGUGUCUGAUGUGGUGACCCAUCUGCUACCCACUGAGGACAACCUAAAAAUUGUGGCCACCAUGAGAAAGGCCUACAAUUUUGUAUUGAUCAAAGAAGGGAACUCCACGACGACAUUGCCCGAUCCACACCCUCAGGCCCAGCCCGAUCCACACCCUCAGGCCCUGCCCGAUCCACACCCUCAGGCCCAGCCCGAUCCACACCCUCAGGCCCUGCCCGAUCCACACCCUCAGGCCCUGCCCGAUCCACACCCUCAGGCCCAGGAAAAGGAGACAUUUUAUAUUUUAUAUUUACACCCUGUCUCUCUCCCUGUGAAGGAACAACCCCCCCCCCCAAAAAAGAAAGUGUAAGUUAACUGUGGUCUUAGCACACUAUGUAUGAAUUUCUCCUUUUUGUAAUCAUUAUUCAUGAAAUACAGAAAUCUUUAGGUGAAUUUAAGUGCAGUCAAUUAGCGUAGUUAAUGUGAGUAAUUUUCAGUGGCCAGUCUGAUACACAAAGGAGUUUGUCCUCGCACGCAUACCUUUCAGUACUGAACACGCACACUCUAGGAGUAAAGCAAUGAGCAAUACACACUUGAGGAGAGAUGAAUACACACACACUCACGCACACAUCAGUGGGCAGCCCAGGUAGCUUAUCCCCCCCUAUCACUGUUCACAAUCUGCUUCAAUAACCUUUAGGCCAGGCAGUAGGAUAAUUAGGCUAAAUUUCGGCUAUGAAAUCACUGAAUCUAAUGGCUAAAGAGCAGUUCAUUCCAGGAACUAUAACGAUAAAAGCGUCCAGACAGACUGACCAGCUAUAAGCAAAGUCUCACCUUGUGUUAAUAAAUGUGAUGGCUAAGAUGUGAUGGGUUCCUAUUGGUUGUUAGCUCUUCUUUUUAUUGUUCUCAAAAUCGCUUUAAAAGCGAUCCCCAACAAUAUUGUUCUCAAUCUCGUUAUAGUUUAUCAUAUUAACGAGAACAAUAUUUUUUUAUAUAGUUAUAGUUUUUGGUGUGAAUGGCCCUUUAUAUAUGUAUUCUUCAGACGUUUUCAAAGUUCAAGGACAAUGCUUAAAGUUGUUCCCCAGGUUUUAUGAAACUUUAAGUUUAACUUUAAGUUUAAUUUCCAGGUUUUUUUUACAUUUAUGGUUAAUUAAUAUUAUUAUUAUUAUUAUUAUUGUCAUUUUAAGGUUGCCGGAAAUGUAGUAGGCAAAAAGUUUUCAAAUAUGACUCCAUAACAGGACGAAGGAUAAAUGAGGGGCAAGAGGAAGUAAGGGUGAAAUGGUUACCUUGCUCUGCAUGUGGAAAAAUCUGGGAGGAGACAUGGGAGCCGGCCUGCCAGUUCUCACCAGGUGCCAACCAUGUGUAAUGUCACACAUUGGUCUGUAAUUCAAUGAGUUAAAUACCUGCUAUGAGAUGUCAAGUUUGCCGUUACGGGCCCAGCCAUCCUGCUUGCGGAUGUGACUACUUUAGAUGAGGAGGAGCCGCGUUACACACUUUCAAUGGUUUCCACCCUAACAUGCUGUCAUGCUGUUUUUUCAUUUAUUUUUUAAUUAUUGAUUUUUGUUAAAAGCUGUGUUCAAAUAAAUCGAUGUAUACCUUUAUUUCUGUUUGUCUUUCCAUUCACCUUGUGGUUUAGCCAAUCAUCUGAAGUCUUCAAUGCAUCAAAUGAUAUAUUGUAAUGUGAUGCACAAAGUAUGUAGGAAGGUGGGACAUGUUUUCAUUCAUAUUAAUUGACAUCAUUAAGGAACCGUUGAUUCCACCAGCUAAACCAUACAUUUUCUGUAGAAAGGGUAGCUGAGGUAGGCAGGGGUGGAUAAAUGAACAGGCUUACCAGGACCAGAGGUCAAGAGGGUCCAGAAGCCUCUAAAAAUUUGAAAGCAUGCUUUCUAAUUCAGGAAGUUUUCUAAAGGCAAGGCACAUGAAACCCUGGCUGCUGCACUGUGGCCUUCCAUUGACCUUGAUGCACUAAAUGUGUGUGUUCAAGUCUACCCCGGAUGGGUAAAAGCAGAAGACUAUAUUUUUUUACUUUUGUUAUUUCAGUCUAUAUGGGCCAAUCUGGGUUUCUUGUUUAUAUUUUUAAAACUGUCAAUAUUCAUUUAGAUGUUAUGGUAUUUAUUUAUUUUAAUAUUUCGGUCUUAUUUACGGUGAAAUAAUACAGUAUGCUGUAAUACAGAACAUAUGAUCCGAGCUAGACGCAAAGACUCCACAAUGCAAUGCGGGCGUUCAUUCACAGAAUCGGUUGUCAUUGGUUGUCACCAGCAACAACAAGUUGCUCAGCUUUGUACCAGCCGCAAUACCAGAGAAAGGACUUUGGUAAUACCGAUUACCGACCGAAGAC
This is a long non-coding RNA of Micropterus salmoides (largemouth bass), 2378 nucleotides long. RefSeq lists it as uncharacterized. NCBI's taxonomy places the organism in Eukaryota, Metazoa, Chordata, Actinopteri, Centrarchiformes, Centrarchidae. The record is from RefSeq and is a predicted model, not a curated record. The transcript is spliced from 4 exons.